This is a long non-coding RNA of Haliotis rubra (blacklip abalone), 489 nucleotides long. RefSeq lists it as uncharacterized. The transcript is spliced from 3 exons. Lineage: Eukaryota; Metazoa; Mollusca; Gastropoda; Lepetellida; Haliotidae. The record is from RefSeq and is a predicted model, not a curated record.
CAGCGCCUACGACAACUGCACCUCUGCCAGCGACUGCCCGGCGACGACUACCUGCCGGUGUAACGGCGACUACGGCUACCAGUGCUUGUGUGACCCGGGUUACGUGGUCUCCAAGUCGGGACAUGAAUGCAUCAUCGCCUCGAGGCUGGGGGAGGCGUGCAACGCCAGCACCAAGUGCGUGAACACCCUCACCUACUGCAACCCAGACACCAACGUCUGUGAGUGUCAGGUGUACCACCGACUCUCAGCCAAUGAGGACGCCUGUGUCUUCCAGGGCACGCUAGCCAAUGGGGAAAAGUGUAACACAAGCGCUGUGUGCUUCGACGUCUUGGGGGUGUGCAACAGCAGCAACCUUUGUGGAUGUCGCGACGGCUUCAGACUCAAGGAUGAGGCCGAGUUUUGGGCUGAGCCUGACAGUAUCGUCGGCUGUACUGUGGAGACGUUUGUGCUCGAAAACCCGACACUUUGCCCGGUAACAACAACUCAGUC